Molecule: long non-coding RNA, 228 nt
Organism: Ananas comosus (pineapple)
Lineage: Eukaryota; Viridiplantae; Streptophyta; Magnoliopsida; Poales; Bromeliaceae
Exons: 2
Source: RefSeq, a predicted model, not a curated record
UCAAGUGUGAACUUAAAAGAAAAAAUAUGAUAGAUAAUUACACGGAGCAAGAAGUUGCAAGUAAUGUAUCAAGUGGAUUUACAUCCCAACAAUGGAUAGACCUUGUUCGUUAUUGGUUCUCGGAGAAAAGCAAGUCAUACUCUCAAAUUGGAAAGGUAGCGCGUGCCAAGCAUAUUACUCCUCAUACAACUGGUUCUAUGAGUUUUGCUCGGAAAAGAGAUCAAUUUG